CAGUAGCCACGGUAAUACAGAGGGUGCAAGCGUUAAUCGGAAUUACUGGGCGUAAAGCGCGCGUAGGUGGUUUGUUAAGUUGGAUGUGAAAGCCCCGGGCUCAACCUGGGAACUGCAUCCAAAACUGGCAAGCUAGAGUACGGUAGAGGGUGGUGGAAUUUCCUGUGUAGCGGUGAAAUGCGUAGAUAUAGGAAUGAACACCAGUGGCGAAGGCGACCACCUGGACUGAUACUGACACUGAGGUGCGAAAGCGUGGGGAGCAAACAGGAUUAGAGACCCCGGUAGUCCCUGUCUCUUAUAC
Molecule: ribosomal RNA, 301 nt
Filed under: uncultured bacterium
Lineage: Bacteria
Description: partial 16S ribosomal RNA
Rfam family: Bacterial small subunit ribosomal RNA
Source: RNAcentral